AAUGUUAAAGUUCUUAUUUCAUGGUAUAACUUUGGUAUGCUUGGACCUAGAGUCUUCAAACUUGACAUGAAGGUUGGCCAGGAUUAACAGAUGACCACUGGUCAUUUCAAGGUCAUUCAUUUGAAGGUCAAGGUCACUGUGACCUUCAAUAUAAAAAUUUUAAAGUUGUUAUAACUUUGGUAUGCUUGGACCUAGAGUCUUGAAACUUGACAUGAAGGUUGGCCAGAACUAGUAAGUAACCACUGGACAUUUCAAGGUCAUUCAUUUGAAGGUCAAGGUCACUGUGACCUUGAAUGUAAAAAUGUUAAAGUUGUUAUAACUUUGGUAUGCUUGGACCUAGAGUCUUGAAACUUGACAUGAAGGUUGGCCAGAACUAGUAAGUAACCACUGGACAUUUCAAGGUCAUUCAUUUGAAGGUCAAGGUCACUGUGACCUUGAAUGUAAAAAUGUUAAAGUUCUUAUUUCAUGUUAUAACUUUGGUAUGCUUGUACCUAGAGUCUUCAAACUUGAAAUAAAGAUUGGCCAGUACUAGAAGAUGACCACUGGUCAUUUCAAUGUCAUUCAUUUGAAGGUCAAGGUCACUGUGACCUUAAAUGUUAAAAUGUUAAAAUUGUUAUAACUUUGGUAUGCUUGGACAUAGAGUCUUCAAACUUGACAUGAAGGUUUGCAAGCACACUUAUUUGUGACCUUAAAUGUUAUUGUUGUUCAUGUAUAUGCAUGCAUUCAAAACAUAACACAAGGUUUGCUCAUGCCUUGAAAAGUACUUACAUUUCAUUUUGACCUUUGAACAAUAUUUCAGUAAUUUAAGUAUUGCAUUGACAAAAACACGAAAGGUACUUUCCUGUCAUUUAAAUAAAAAAUCCGGCUUCAAUGCGGUCAUCUCCGACCGCGGAACUCUUGUUAAUAUUGAAGAUAGCAACUUGAUAUUUGGAAUGCAUGUGUAUCUCAUGAAGCUGCACAUUUUGAGUGGUGGAAGUUCAAGGUCAAGGUCAUCCUUCAAGGUCAAAAACAUUAAAAAAUUCAAAGCGGCGUUCUCAUGAAGCUGCACAUUUUGAGUGGUGGAAGUUCAAGGUCAAGGUCAUUCUUCAAGGUCAAUGUCAUCCUUCAAGGUCAAAGGUAAAAAAAAAUAAUUUCAAAGUGGCGUUAUCAUGAAAAUGCACAUUUUGAGUGGCGGAAGUUCAAGGUCAAGGUCAUCUGUCAAGGUCAUCCUUCAAGAUCAAAGGUCAAAAAAAUAAUAUAAAAAUUCAAAGCGGCGUUAUCAUGAAGCUUCACAUUUUGAGUGGUGGAAGGUCAAGGUCAUCCUUCAAGGUAAAAUUAUUUUUUUUUAAUUCUAAGUGGCGUUCUCAUGAAGCUGCACAUUUUGAGUGGUGGAAGUUCAGGGUCAAGGUCAUUCUUCAAGGUCAAAGGUAAAAAAAUAAUAAAAACAUUCAAAGCGGCUUCUCAUGAAGCUGCACAUUUUGAAUGGUUGAAGUUCAAUGUCAAGGUCAUUCUUCAAGGUCAAGGUCAAAGGUAUUUUUUUUUAUUUAAAAUGGCGUUAUCAUGAAGCUGCACAUUUUGAGUGAUGGAAGGUCAAGAUCAUCCUUCAAGGUCAAGGUCAUGCUUUAAGGUCAAAGGUAAAAAAAAAUGAUUUCGAAGCUGCUUUUUCAUAAAGCUGCACAUUUUGAGUGGUGGAAGUUCAAGGUCAAGGUCAUCCUUCAAGGUCAAAGGUAAAAAAAAAAAAUUCAAAGCGGCGCAAUAGAGGGCAUUGUGUUUCUGAGAAACAAAUCUC
Long non-coding RNA from Dreissena polymorpha, 1768 nucleotides. RefSeq lists it as uncharacterized. NCBI's taxonomy places the organism in Eukaryota, Metazoa, Mollusca, Bivalvia, Myida, Dreissenidae. The record is from RefSeq and is a predicted model, not a curated record. The transcript is spliced from 2 exons.